Molecule: long non-coding RNA, 630 nt
Filed under: Gallus gallus (chicken)
Lineage: Eukaryota; Metazoa; Chordata; Aves; Galliformes; Phasianidae
Source: RNAcentral
GGCCGCCGACUGCGGCGGGCGGAGCGCGGCAGGGCUGCACGGGGGCGAAAGGAGAGAGAAAAGGGAUGAGGGGAAGGAGCGGGGGGGGGGGAGGAAUAAUCGAUAAACAGCGCAACUCGAGCCUUCCUUAAACCAACGGAAAGAAAACGGGUAGAGAAAUACUCGCCGGGCUGCGAGUGCCGCCCCCCGGCCUGGCCCCCGUGCCGCGGAACGGAGGGUUCGGGGCAGCGCUGCCCCUAUCGCGCGGAACCGCACCGCGCCCCGCCCGCAGCGGCGCCCCCCGGCAGCGGCAAAGCCGGGGCCGCCGCGCUGAACUCCCGCUGACCGAAUGCUCGGCCCCGCCGUGCCCCCGGCCUCGCGCGGAGGGCGCGCUCCGGGCAGAUGCGCCGGAGACGGUCAAAUGACCCCCGGCAGCCACCCCCUGCUCGCCUCGAGGCACCCCCGGGGCCAGGCAGGGGCAAGGAAAGCACAACUAUAAUAUUGCCGCCCGACCCCCCUCCCUCCCCCCCCCCCCCCAAACACCGCCCGGGCUCGGCUCGCCGCCCCUCCACGGAGCACAGGGGAAGAAGGGCUCGUUUUAACCGAACUCGAGCAGCGCGAGGGAGCGGCGGGAAGAAAGAGGAUGCACAG